GACGAACGCUGGCGGCGUGCUUAACACAUGCAAGUCGAACGGAAAGGCCCUGCUUUUGUGGGGUGCUCGAGUGGCGAACGGGUGAGUAACACGUGAGUAACCUGCCCUUGACUUUGGGAUAACUUCAGGAAACUGGGGCUAAUACCGGAUAGGAGCUCCUGCUGCAUGGUGGGGGUUGGAAAGUUUCGGCGGUUGGGGAUGGACUCGCGGCUUAUCCGCUUGUUGGUGGGGUAGUGGCUUACCAAGGCUUUGACGGGUAGCCGGCCUGAGAGGGUGACCGGCCACAUUGGGACUGAGAUACGGCCCAGACUCCUACGGGAGGCAGCAGUGGGGAAUAUUGCACAAUGGGCGGAAGCCUGAUGCAGCAACGCCGCGUGCGGGAUGACGGCCUUCGGGUUGUAAACCGCUUUCGCAUGUGACGAAGCGUGAGUGACGGUAAUGGGUAAAGAAGCACCGGCUAACUACGUG
This 468-nucleotide ribosomal RNA is filed under the name uncultured bacterium. RNAcentral's name for it is "partial 16S ribosomal RNA". It matches the Rfam family "Bacterial small subunit ribosomal RNA", at positions 28 to 507 of the family's 1533-position model. The record is from RNAcentral.